Molecule: ribosomal RNA, 1295 nt
Filed under: Archeocrypticus sp. CO1016
Lineage: Eukaryota; Metazoa; Arthropoda; Insecta; Coleoptera; Archeocrypticidae
Description: eukaryotic LSU rRNA
Rfam family: Eukaryotic large subunit ribosomal RNA
Source: RNAcentral
UAUCUAAACCUAAAGGCGCAAUGAAAGUAAAGGUUCGUCUUGCACGAACCUAGGGAGGAUGGGUGAUCGUUACGGCUGUUGCCCCGCACUCCCGGGGCGUCUCAUUCUUAUUGCAAGAAGAGGCGCACCAAGAGCGUACACGCUGGUACCCGAAAGAUGGUGAACUAUGCCUGGUCAGGACGAAGUCAGGGGAAACCCUGAUGGAGGUCCGUAGCGAUUCUGACGUGCAAAUCGAUCGUCGGAACUGGGUAUAGGGGCGAAAGACUAAUCGAACCAUCUAGUAGCUGGUUCCCUCCGAAGUUUCCCUCAGGAUAGCUGGCGCUCAUUGCGCACGAGUUUCAUCCGGUAAAGCGAAUGAUUAGAGGCAUUGGGGUCGAAACGGCCUCAACCUAUUCUCAAACUUUAAAUGGGUGAGAUCUUCGGCUUGCUCGAACUCUUGAAGCCGCAAGACUCGAAUCAGAGUGCCAAGUGGGCCAUUUUUGGUAAGCAGAACUGGCGCUGUGGGAUGAACCAAACGCAGAGUUAAAGCGCCUAAAUCGACGCUUAUGGGAUACCAUGAAAGGCGUUGGUAACUUAAGACAUCAGGACGGUGGCCAUGGAAGUCGGAAUCCGCCAAGGAGUGUGUAACAACUCACCUGCCGAAGUUACUAGCCCUGAAAAUGGAUGGCGCUGAAGCGUCGUGCUUAUACUCUGCCGUCAGCGGCAUGUGCGGUUGAUGCAAAUCGGCCAUGAAGCCCUGACGAGUAGGAGGGUCGCGGCGGUGUGCGCAGAAGGGCUGGCCGUAGGGCCGUCUGGAGCCGCCGUCGGUGCAGAUCUUGGUGGUAGUAGCAAAUACUCCAGCGAGGCCCUGGAGGACUGAUGUGGAGAAGGGUUUCGUGUGAACAGCCGUUGCACACGAGUCAGUCGAUCCUAAGCCCUAGGCGAAAGCCGAUGUUGAUGUGGUGUAUAUUUAUUUACUACUGAUAGUACACACCCAUUGGGCGAAAGGGAAUCCGGUUCCUAUUCCGGAACCCGGCAGCGGAACCGCUUAAAAGUCGGGCUCUCGUAAGAGUGUUCGUCGGGGCAACCCAAAAGGACCCGGAGACGCCGUCGGGAGAUCCGGAAAGAGUUUUCUUUUCUGUAUGAGCGUUCGAGUUCCAUGGAAUCCUCUAGCAGGGAGAUAUGGUUUGGAACGCGAAGAGCACCGCAGUUGCGGCGGUGUCCGGAUCUUCCCCUCGGACCUUGAAAAUCCGGGAGAGGGCCACGUGGAGGCGUCGCGCCGGUUCGUACCCAUAUCCGCAGCAGGUCUCCAAGGU